RNAcentral lists this long non-coding RNA (748 nucleotides) under Dermacentor andersoni. RNAcentral's name for it is "uncharacterized LOC126547741". Lineage: Eukaryota; Metazoa; Arthropoda; Arachnida; Ixodida; Ixodidae. The record is from RNAcentral.
AAGCUGCGGUCGGCACCGAAGCAAGAAACCGUAGCACGUCUUCGGUGGGGCAGAAACCCGCGGGAAGCCGCCAGCCGGCCCAAGGUUGGUUCCGCUGUUCGCACCAUUAAUCGAGGCGAACGCUGUUCAUCCGCCGCCUCUUGCCCGCACCGCCGCCGCUGACAAGCUCCGAUGCGGCGCUGGGCAACCGUAAAGACAUGUCCAGAGGAUGCACCGCUGCUCAGGCACGUCGCCCCGACGAACCGCUGGCUGAGUCGUUCCACGGCUCCGCACACGUGGCUUCGCCUGGAAGGGGCCCGACGCGCUUCUUGUCCAUGGGCUCACGCGGCAGUCUCGCUCCUCGCAGCCGCUCAGGCGCCGGGUCCCUCUUGCGUGUGCGUGAGCUUGCGCCCUGCGUCCUCCGUCGUACAUGCUCGUAAGGCGUCGCGGGAUGACGCGCGUUCUGUGGAAUAAUCCGGACAGCGACCUGCCGAAGAGGAUAUCUCUCCCGGCUAGCCGGCUGCCAGUUGUUACGGUUUCUACAUGGAGGUCCUGAAGGGUCUGAAAGAUCGUGCGUGCUGCGUGCGACCAAAUUUGUCAAAAGAGGGGCGCUGGAUUCUUCACCACGAUAAUGGCCGUGCGCACUAUUCAUUGAUAGUACAGGAAUCCUCGACAGAUAUGCAGGCAGCAAACAUCAUCAUACAGAAAACGGAACUGCAACACCACUUUCUUCUUCACAAGUAGCCGCAAUAAAAUGUCGUUCGAGAAA